AAUGCCACCAUAUUGACAACACCCAUGUGGGAAACUUUUUCUCUUAUUAUCAUCUAUACAGAGUAAAAAUUCAAUUCUAAUCAGAACUAAUUAUAAUCCUACAUCUCCAACUGAAGAUUCCAAUUUCUAAAUUUCUAGAGCUAAAUCUACUACCCUAUGAUCCCUAGAGAAAAUAUGAGAGAAAAAUCGGUGGAGAUAGAGAAUCUUCUGAUCAAGAAACUGCCACCCCAUCUCCACUGCUAUUCAUGAGACAAAACCUGGUCGGCCUGGGCUGGAAAUUCUUCCUCCUUCGGGCAUCAUGGCUAGAUGGCUUGAUGAUCUGCAUGAGGAAAGCCUUGAGAAGAUUGGCCUUUGUAACCGUCUUUGGCUCCAACCUGUUAAUAUUUGCUGUUGAUCUGCCACAAGGUUUGAGAGAGCCCCUGUGGAGGCUGCACCGGAAUGAGCCAGGGUGGGCGGUGGGAGAGCAAAGACAUGUCCUUGAAGAAGAAGAGUUUUUGGUAGCCAUUUCUGCAUGCAGUUCCCCACUGGUUUGCCUUUGAUUCCUUUUAGUGUUAAGCCUGGAUAAAGACGGGCCUUCAUAUUUGUAGCUUCUUUGAAUGCUCGUACCAAAUUAGCCCUGGCUUUC
RNAcentral lists this long non-coding RNA (625 nucleotides) under Vitis vinifera (wine grape). Its description in RNAcentral is "long non-coding RNA (VVIN_LNC002856)". Lineage: Eukaryota; Viridiplantae; Streptophyta; Magnoliopsida; Vitales; Vitaceae. The record is from RNAcentral.